UUGCCUUAAACUAAUGAGUAAGGAAACCAAAGCGAGAGGUGGGAGCUGCUCGCCGCGUCUAACUCAAAAGGUGCGCAAGAAUUUAUGGAGGGGUAAUAGGCUGGCUCAGCGUUGACGCUGCGUUUACUUUGCGCAGAACUCGCUCGAGUGUGCCUC
Small nuclear RNA from Hibiscus syriacus, 156 nucleotides. RefSeq annotates it as U12 minor spliceosomal RNA. The transcript has a single exon. The record is from RefSeq and is a predicted model, not a curated record. NCBI's taxonomy places the organism in Eukaryota, Viridiplantae, Streptophyta, Magnoliopsida, Malvales, Malvaceae.